CCUACGGGAGGCAGCAGUGGGGAAUAUUGGUCAAUGGGCGCAAGCCUGACCCAGCCAAGUAGCGUGAAGGAUGACUUCCCUACGGGUUGUAACCUUCUUUUAUAAGGGAGUAAAGUGAGGCGCGUGUGCCUGUUUGUAUGUACUUUAUGAAUAAGGAUCGGCUAACUCCAUUCCAGCAGCCGCGGUAAUACGGAGGAUCCGAGCGUUAUCCGGAUUUAUUGGGUGUAAAGGGAGCGUAGAUGGGUUGUUAAGUCAGUUGUGAAAGUUUGCGGCUCAACCGUAAAAUUGCAAUUGAUACUGGCAGCCUUGAGUACAGUUGAGGCAGGCGGAAUUCGUGGUGUAGCGGUGAAAUGCUUAGAUAUCCCGAAGAACUCCGAUUGCGAAGGCAGCCUACUAAACUGUCACUGACAUUGAUGCGCGAAAGUGUGGGUAUCAAACAGGAUUAGAUACCCUAGUAGUC
Molecule: ribosomal RNA, 460 nt
Filed under: uncultured bacterium
Lineage: Bacteria
Description: partial 16S ribosomal RNA
Rfam family: Bacterial small subunit ribosomal RNA
Source: RNAcentral